This 301-nucleotide ribosomal RNA is filed under the name uncultured bacterium. RNAcentral's name for it is "partial 16S ribosomal RNA". It matches the Rfam family "Bacterial small subunit ribosomal RNA", at positions 509 to 807 of the family's 1533-position model. The record is from RNAcentral.
CAGCCGCCACGGGAAAACGGAGGGUGCAAGCGUUAUCCGGAUUCACUGGGUUUAAAGGGUGCGUAGGCGGGCAGGUAUGUCAGUGGUGAAAUCUUCGAGCUUAACUCGGAAACUGCCGUUGAUACUAUCUGUCCUGAAUAACGUUGAGGUGAGCGGAAUAUGUCAUGUAGCGGUGAAAUGCUUAGAUAUGACAUAGAACACCGAUUGCGAAGGCAGCUCACUAAACGCUCAUUGACGCUGAGGCACGAAAGCGUGGGGAUCAAACAGGAUUAGAUACCCCUGUAGUCCCUGUCUCUUAUAC